GAAUCACAAAACCUCUCCUGCUAAGCCACUCUUCCCACAGGUGACUCUACAAUCUGAGACAAUGUGUACUUGUUGGAAGGACCUUCACAGCAUAUAGCUCAACAGGCAAAACCCUCUCUGGGAAUGUGAUUCUUCCUGGCAAAGCAGGCAUGAACAGAGACGAAGAAUGCCAAUACCCUCUUGACCAUCAAGAUAUGCCAAAACCACUUUAGAGAAUAUUGGAAUAAAGUGCCUGAGAACAGAUCACCCAAGAAAAAGGCCUCUCAGCAUAUUGAUUGGCUAGAAAACACUGCUGAGAGCUAGUAUAUGACUCUUAACAAACACAUUCCAUUGCAGGAGGAGUGUGUGGGCUUCUGAGACCCUACACAAGAUAAGUUACAUGGAACAAAGGCUGAAAUAGUCAAUAAACCUGACCUUGUGACAGGAGGCCAUCAGGAAGCUCUGCGUGACUUUUGUCCAGGAAUAGCCAAUUCCCCCUCUUGGUUCUCUAUACAGUGGAGAACAUAUAUAUCCCCCUGAUUAAAGGCUCUGAAAGGAUAGUCUUAGCUGAUGCCUCCAAGAGAAAGUUGUUCUUCUGUCAACAAAGUCACCACCAUGAAAUUCAACUGGAGAAGCUUUGGCAACUUAGCCUAUUCACUUUUCACUCUUACACCCUCCCAGCAUUCUCUCUCUGGCCUGUGUCUACAUAAUAAAGUUGUUGAAGCAGUGUCUCUGA
RNAcentral lists this long non-coding RNA (715 nucleotides) under Homo sapiens (human). Its description in RNAcentral is "HSALNT0135333". Lineage: Eukaryota; Metazoa; Chordata; Mammalia; Primates; Hominidae. The record is from RNAcentral.